Camelina sativa (false flax) is the source of this 1588-nucleotide long non-coding RNA. RefSeq lists it as uncharacterized. Lineage: Eukaryota; Viridiplantae; Streptophyta; Magnoliopsida; Brassicales; Brassicaceae. The record is from RefSeq and is a predicted model, not a curated record.
CCUACUCCCCAUACUCAUUUUCUCCGCCGCAUACCUCUGUUUUGGUUUGUAAAGUUAGUAACUUUUUUCUGGUUUUUGACUAUAGAAAUUUGUGAAUUCUAGUUGUAGAGAAGUGUGAGUAUAUAGAGUGUUGGUGUGUGUGUUUUGAAUCUUUAAAAAAAUUGAAGAAAAGGGAUUAGUAAGUAAGAUGGCUUAUAUAAUGCAGGAUUUUGAAGGUGAAUGAGCUCUACACUUCAUUGGACUUUUUUUAUAAGCCAUCUUACUAGUUCUUCUUCUUCUUCUCUUCUAUUUUGGGAUCAUAGGAGUUUUAAGGAAUGCUUUCAUGAUGUUAUUACUCUUAAGGACACUCUGGUUUAUGAUGAACUCCUUAUCUUUGGACAAGAAGUGGCAUCAUAACAGUUUUUAAGUAAUGUCUCAGACUCUCAGGCUGCUUUUUUAUCUUGUGAUAAAUGGCGCGAUUUGAAUUUUCAUGUUAUACUUCGAUGCUCAGUUUAUACGUUCCUGCUUGUGGCUUUUAAAACAAUUCAUGGGGCUUAUGAGGAUUCUGCCUGCCUGUUGGGGUUGUUUCAGAUUAUAACUUAGGUUUCAUUCUAUGCUGCUGAUAACUGAUUUAGAAAUGAAGUCGAACUAUAAAGUUACUUACUAUGUAUACAUUUGGUUGUAUCCUGUAAGUUGCGGAAACCUUCUUUCUUAUCCGUUGUCAAAGAGUAUGCUCACUGUGAAAAACAAAGCUUCUUGACACACACCUGCUAUCGUAUGUAUGUCGUUUUUGCUUUGUUAAUCGACGGUGGAAGUUUUGGCUUCUUUAAUAGACAGUUGAAGAAAUGAUAGCUCUAUCCUCUAUGUAUCUAUCCUGAAUGCUUUUCUUAUGAAAUCAUCAUAUUGUUUGUCAUUGGGCAUUAGACUAGGUUGCUUCCCAUGCGACGGAUAUGCGAUAGUAUGGAUUGAAAUCUUGAAGCUUUCGUUAUGAUUUUCAGUCUAAUCUAGUUGACUAUAAUGCAAGAGUUAUGACCAUUUAUAGCACAACAAUUCAUGUUUCGUAAUGAAUGUUUCUGUUAAGGGUUCUGUUUAAACUACAGUUCAUACCAGAUUAUUUUCCGACUGGCGUGUAAGUCAAAGAGCACUUGCAAUAUCCCAUUCUCUAAUCUCUAGUCAAGUAAACACUGAUGAACCAUUUUCAUGACUUUCAAAUGCAGUGUUAAACCUACUCAACAAGAACAAUGAGGAAAAGUUUUUAGAGAUCUGAUGACACCACCAUCUCUAGUAGAAGACUGUGUAAGCUACUUGUUAUACCCUUUCUACGUGCCAUUGUUUGUUCUCUUUCUAAUCAUGGAAGAGCCAAGUAAUAAUAUAUAGAAGCUUCCAAGAACUUAGGGAAAGCUGCGGCGGCCAGGAUUCCUGUAUUAAAAAAACUGUGUAAGUGCACUUCUCUCUGUCUUUGUGCAGAACCAGAAUCAGCUUCUGUGUUAUUGAUGGGUUAGGUUACCAGAUGCUUUGGGUAUUUGAUUCGCAUCUAAGUCUAAUUAACCACACUUUUGAUUAACAAAAAAGUGAAAAAAUAAAGCUUCAUCUUUCUUUGGUUUGUUUA